AAGGGUUUCCUCGGGGCUGCCGGAAUCGGUGCAAUCUCAGAGUCACAGGUCAGGCGCUCUCCCAGCCCCCAACCCCUGGCGGCAGAGCCCUGGGGAGGCGUUAAGAAGGCGGAUGGCAGCGGGGCUCGGCGGCCCAGGGGCGGUCUGGCAGGUUCAGGUUUCCCCGAGUGCCAGCUGAAACGGCGGUCCUUCGCGCUCGGUUGCAGCUGCAAGAGGACCCGGGGCACCCGCUUCCCAGCUGGCUUCCGACCCCAUCCCGGGCGGUGACUUUGUCAUGGCUGAGCACAGCUGCAUUUGUUCUGAUGACCCACUAAUCUGCGCUAGAAAGAGAAUAGAAGAGGAGGAAACAAGUCAUCCUAUGAGGCCAGAAUAAUACCAAAAUCAACAAAAAGCAUCCAAAAAAUGGAACCUACAGACAAAUAUCUCUCAUGAAGUUAAAC
This is a long non-coding RNA of Bos taurus (domestic cattle), 440 nucleotides long. Lineage: Eukaryota; Metazoa; Chordata; Mammalia; Artiodactyla; Bovidae. The record is from Ensembl.